CGAAGGGGCGUAGCGUUGUUCGGAAUCACUGGGCGUAAAGGGCGCGUAGGCGGCCGAUCAAGUCGGGGGUGAAAGCCUGUGGCUCAACCACAGAAUUGCCUUCGAUACUGUUCGGCUCGAGACCGGAAGAGGUCAGUGGAACUGCGAGUGUAGAGGUGAAAUUCGUAGAUAUUCGCAAGAACACCAGUGGCGAAGGCGGCUGACUGGUCCGGGAUCUGACGCUGAGGCGCGAAAGCGUGGGGGAGCAAACAGGAUU
This 256-nucleotide ribosomal RNA is filed under the name uncultured bacterium. Its description in RNAcentral is "partial 16S ribosomal RNA". It matches the Rfam family "Bacterial small subunit ribosomal RNA", at positions 526 to 779 of the family's 1533-position model. The record is from RNAcentral.